CCUCCUGCCCGCUGCCGGUAGUUCCUCCUUUCAUUGCGGUCUUUACUAGGGAAUGAUCCCCGCAGGGGCACGGCCGGCGGGGCGGUGACUGGUUUUCACGGCGAAUCACGACAGGCCCUUGAAGGGCGGGAGGAGGGGCUGGCAUUCAGUGGAAUGGAUGUAAUGCACAUCUGACUCUGAACUUCUGCUUCUGGAUCUACGGAAGGCCUUUCAUUCAUGCUGAUCUCCAGUUAUAAAAGAAACAAGAAUUUGUUAUGGCUCAAGCUUGGCUUCAGCAAAAUUCCAGCCCUUCAAAUGCAUUCAGUUAACGUGCUGAAUAUUGACUCACUGCUUACUCACGUGACCGACAUUGAAAUUACACUUUCUCAUUUUUGUAGCAUAUCAUAAAUAAUGGUUUAAUCCUCACAGCCUGAUGAAGUCAGUUGGCAUCAUUUUUCCUUGCUAAUGGAAGAAAAGUUUGUAGGAUAAAGUAAGAUAUUUUAUUAGAUGUCAUUAUUGCUUUCAGCUUUAUUUCAAGGAAGUGCUCCUGUAAAUUUGAGCUGAGCUAAGUAAUGAAAACAUACCAAAAGUAAUGGAGGAACUGAUUGCAAUCCCAGGUGGCUAAGAAAGAAGAGAGUGCUAUAACAUUGAGUCACCUGUGCUUUAUAGUCCAGCUGUUCUGAAGGAAGUUUGAAGGGAAUUUGACUUUGCCAAUAUUUAAGGGUGACACUUGGACACAACAGCUCAGCAUAACUGACGGGGUACUGGUCCUAAAAUUAGUCUGUGCCAACUUCACUUACAGCAUCUCUCUUGAGACUGCUUAAAGGACAAGAUUGUAUGUUCCAGCUUAGUGGAGGAAUGGAAGUGCACCUUUUCCAUGAGCUAUUCAGCCUGGAAGUCCCAGUUUCCAAAUGUUUUUCCUGCAUUGUCACUUCAAGAAAAGUUGCAGGGAGGAGCACAUCAAACUUGGCUAACAGAGAACAAGAAAAGCAGUGAGUGAGUCUUUCCUUAUGAGGCACCAGGAGGCAUAAGGGAAGGACAGAAAGAACAACACCCUCUGCCUUUAGGAGGGAUGGAGCUCUGUGAUGGCACACGUGUGGAGUGGGAGAGCCAUGGAGACCAUCGCCUUUUGUAAGUGUUUCUAUGAAGCAGCAUUA
Long non-coding RNA from Pezoporus occidentalis (night parrot), 1136 nucleotides. RefSeq lists it as uncharacterized. NCBI's taxonomy places the organism in Eukaryota, Metazoa, Chordata, Aves, Psittaciformes, Psittacidae. The transcript has 3 exons. The record is from RefSeq and is a predicted model, not a curated record.